AUAAAAAGGUCACUUUUCCUUUGUCAUUUUUGCAUGUUGUUGCUGACUAGUGUUAAUAAUUUAAUUAAAAGGUCAGAUCACUCAUCCUUUUCUUAUACCUGGUGUCACUGUCAUUAUUUUCUUUGCGAAUUAGCUGAUUUAGUGUUAUUUGAUUAUAAUGGGUUUUUAUAAUAAUCCUCAAAAGAAGUGGAAAUUCUCUUUGAAGGCAUGCAAGCUUUGAAGGUUCGAAUAAAUUGAAAAUAGCCAGAAAUGUUAGAGGUAUUUCUCUAUUAAAUAUCAUUAAAGCCAUGGGAAGUUUUUAAUGAGAGCAUCCAAGUGCUUGCCUGUUGUGCCUUUUGCUACUGUUUGGCAGUACUGCUGGGAAGCAGGAGCGCUAUUAAUGACAAGAGGCAGCAAAAAGCACGCUUAUUUCAUUAAAGUAUGAGGAUUUGCGGGGCUGGAACAUGACGGGCAGGUGUGGGGACUGCUCUGGCACAGCACCUCAGGAGGCUCCCGCUGAGGUCUGCAGAGAUUUGCAGUUUCCCUUCUCUCCGAAGUGGCCAUCUGCUGUAAAUAAAGCCGUGGUGUGGAGCUCACAGAGGUGUUCUGUGGAGAGUUCUCGCUGUUUACUCUCCGAGCAGCCUUAUUCUCACAACCAUCGUGUUCCACCUGGUUUAAAUCUUUAAUGGAAAACAUCUUCCACUCAUUCGUACCUUCAAAAAGCAGAGACAGAGCUUCAGAGGAAAGGCACAUCCUUGAUCUGUCUUUAUAACACUGUGGUGUUUCUCAAGCUGUUCUCAGACUGCAAAUAGAAGGUUUAAGGCGAGACGCUGAUUUCUAUCAGGCAGCCUGCAGAAUGUGUGCAAGUUCUCGGAAACUUUCAUACAUCAAAUUAUGACACUGUUUUUAAUGAGUGAUGAAAGUUAGUAGAAGAGCAUCAUCAAGUGGAGGAACAAGCUGUGAUCUGGGUCGCUUGAGUACCGGGUUGUGCUGAACUCUGCAAGAAUCCCCACAUGUAAUGCCACGUGGGUUUAUCUGGAAGAGGCGAUGUGAUUAAGGGCAGGGCUGUGAUUAGCAGGACUUGGACAGAAUGCGUUUGAUUGCUGCAGACGGGGCGUUCUGGGAGAAGUGCCUCUCUCAGAACUGAUCCACAGACUGACAUACUGGGGAACUUGGGAUUCACAGGCUGGGAAUUGUGAAGAAACAACUUUAAUUGGCAAAAAAUUAAAAAGUAGGAAAUGAAGAGCUUGGUUACAAAGAACCUGGCGUGGUACACUUCUUCUUUUUUUUUUUUUUUCAAUAGCAGUGUCUAAUUUUAAUAAUAUGAGCUGGGUCCAGCUUAUCUCUCAGGCAUUUUAUGUGCGUAUCUCAGUGCAGAGCAGCUGAACUAUCACAAGCUGAACUGGAGAUGAACCAGCUAUUAGUCGGGCAUCCCUAAAUGGAUGCCAACCAGCAACAGGAAAGGUCAGGGGCAGACGUGCUGUUUACUGAGCAUACAGUUAAUUAUUCAUUUAACGAAAUUCAGGAAUGCCAUAUCCUCUAUGCAACGCAAAAAAUCUCUGGGUCCUGAAGUUAGAGUUCAGUAGGUACUUAAUAACUGCAAAAUUAUAUUGUAUUAGGUGCUCCUGCAUUUUAAUUUAGCAUAAUUUUACAUAUGGCCUGUGUUGUAAACUAUAAUUUCCUUUGAGUUACUAGAGGAAGAAUGCUAAAUACCUUUAUUUGUCUUUAGAAACUAUCCUGAAAGGAGAAUGAGACUCAGGCCCCGUGUUUUUGCUUUUUUUUUUAAACUCCAUUUUUAUAUCUGGAGGAGCGAUAUGAUGCCUAUGGCUCAUGAUGUCCUUUCUUGAAUUGCUUCUGACAGUGAUGAAGUGGGAAAUCUGGGGAAAAUGGUAAUCUCUUGCUGAUCUGCCUCUGUGUAUUCAGAGAUUUACGGCAGUACCCUGUUUCUACUUUCUCAUCCUGCUAGCAUUUUUCAAACAGUAACAAGACAGACUUUAUUCUUUCUUAUUCCAUAAUCAGGAAUGGUUGUUAAGAACCUCUAAUUUGCGAGACAGACACUUUGAACACAUUCAUUAUAGCAACAGGAUGACUCCAGAAUCUGCCAGGGCAAGGUAAGAUAAGUUAAAUUAUCAAUUACACCACCGCACAGCUGAAUAGUAGUGAUAGAGGUGUAAGCCUGCAUGUCUGGGUCUGAUGUAGAAAAAUACCUCUUCCUUGAGUACUGCACUCGUUGAAGGCAAUCCAUGACGAACAAUCAUCAUUCUCCUUUUUUCUGGUACUGCAUUUGAAUAAUAGCUUAGGACUGCUGUAUUCAAUAACUUCAACCUUUGCUCCAUUCAGAAAAAAAACAUGUUUCUGUUUCCCUAAUUUUUCAAGUUUACGUGGAGAGUGGGAUAUGAGAAGGGAAUGGUGUUCUCCUGAGGAAGGUACUAACUGAAAUUUCCCUCAAGUUUACGUUCUCAUUCAUUCUAUUCCAAUGUGUGCUUGUCGAUGUUCAAGUGAAAAGAGUAUUAUUUGCUAUUUUUUCCACACUUAUACUAAGUUCACAGGAAAUCCUCUGAUUCGCCUCUGUUUGGUGCUUAUACGCUUUUCACUGUCUCUCACAGAAAAUCCUGCUGGGAGUGCACCACUUCUGUAGAGAAACUUCAUCGAAUCAUAGAGUCAUUUGAGUUGGAAGGGACCUACAGAGGCCAUCUGGUCCAACCGCCCUGCAAUGAACAGGGAUGCCCACAGCUCCAUCAGGUGCUCAGAGCUCAGUCCAGCCUGACUUUGAGUGUCUCCAGGGACAAGGUGCCUACCACCGCUCUGGGCAACAUGUGCCAGUGCCUCAUCACCCUUAUUCUUUAACUGAAGAAGAAACAAGCAGCUUUGCCUUUCUCCAUGGUUACCUGUGUGACAGACUGGGAGGAUACCUCGCUAAUUAAAUUAGAAUGAGGUCUGUUAUUUGAAGAAUGCUUAUUCACACAAUUGGAAUGGAAGCAACGUCCUAUGGCUGGCUGACCGACCACAGAGAGUGCGUAAUUAGUCAGAGUGGAAGCCUGAAGCUGAUAUACUGACAUAAAAACAUUUACCUGUGCCUUUGUCUGAUGGUAAAAAUUAUGAAUACGGAUGGCAAAACUGGGAUCAGCUCUCUGCAAUUCAGAUGCAUAAAGUGCAUUACAUUUACAGGAAACAGUCUGUAAAAGUAGUAACGCAAAAUGAAUGUGUGUAUUAAUAUAUGUGGUGAUAACUUUUUCUUGUUGGCAAAUGAAAGCACUCUUGAUGGGAAACUUCUCAAAGUGGUGGGAUUUAAAGGGAUUGCUUAAUUUUAUAAAGAGUUUCUGUACAGACAUGCAUGCACACACAUUUUUUGGCAAGUUCUCAUGAGCUAUCUCCAUAUUCCAUCUGGCAGGGAUCAAGCCAUGAUCCUUUCUUUGUGUGCUGCUGCUCUAUUGUGGUGCAUUAACUCCAACACUGGGGGAAAAACACCCUGCAGUAGUGACUCCAUCCAGCCAACAUCCUGUGGCUUUUUGCAGUUUUCUUUCCGUGAGAUGUGGGAGAGGUGGCUGUAGAUGGAGGCUCUCCUGCAAAGCACUGGGAGAUCUGUUAGUUACUUUGCUCCUUAACAAAGUGAUGUGCUAGAGUGUAGUGUGGCUAUCACAAAGCAGUAGCAGCAAAUACUUUGGAAGUACACUGAGCGUGUGAGAGAGCAGGAAUGCCACCAUAUCACAGAACCAUUGGGGUUGAAAGGGACCUCUGGGGAUCACCAAGACCCCUACUAAAGCUGCUCCCUAGAGCAGGCUGCAGUGUGGCUGAGGAGAGGCGUUGGUUGAAACGGAGAGUCUUCAGGAAGGUAAUUGAUGUGUCCAACUGCCCUGUGUCCUCCCCACACAGAGUUUGUCUCUGGACUGUGUCCAUCAGCUAUAUUGUCUUCUGACACCAACAGUUAAAUAGGACCCAGAGAGUCAGUGGAAAUACUUGCAUGUCAUGGUGGUCAUCGAACCACCAUGGCCACCUCCUAUGAGCUCCUGGGUGCCUGCCCAGAACUGCAGCAGUGCUGGGGAUGUUUAAACACUUUUCAGAGACCCUAUGUGAACCAACGUUUGAUAUCCAAGGUUAUGAACAUUACAUGGGGUAUUUUCAAGUGUGCCUGGCUUGGAAAUUCUGUCUUGGUGACAAGUUAAAAAAAAGAACAAACAAUACAAAUUUGUAAAGCAGUCACAACGGUGAGCUCUGCACACUUCCAUAACAGGAGCUGUUUGAAGACCAUAGUGGGAGAAGGGAAAGCAGAGGCACAUGUGCCAAAAAGCAGAGCUGAGGGGCUCUGCCAUGAAGAAUGUCCGCUCUUUGGUGUGAGCUGUAAAAUACAUUUUAAUAUGAGUCGGAAAAAAAAAAGGGCCAAACAGAAUGAUGCCCUACAUAUAAUUCCGUGGAAACCGUAGAAAAACUUCCACAAAUAUGUAGUUCACCAUUUAGGUUACUUAAAUAGUCACAUUUAGGCAAAAGUGGAGAAUGAACACAAGGAAUCCAGGCAGUAGGGCAAGAAUAGUAUGGACUGUGCUGAAAUGUACACCUUCUUUCAGACAUGGCAGUGUCUAAGCAAGCAGAAACCUACAGACUCUCCCUGAGCUCGCACAUGGAGCUCUGUGCAGCUUUCUGGUGCGGGUGCUCACCCUGUGAGCACAAUUAGUCUCUGCUGGCACCAUGCACUUAAUUACUGAAACAAAGGUGCUACAGUUUGAUCCUGGGAUUAUCGUGGGUUUGCUGCAGGAAACUUAAGUUACUGACUCUGGCUUGACGGCUUCUAGUAUGCUUUCUCAAUUAAGCUGUGCGUGCCCCCAAAUUAAAUAGCAAUUCAUAGCUGCUGCAAAUUGAUUUCCACCCAGGCUGUGGUUAGAGCUGCCAAAUGAAAUGUCGGAGAGGAGCAUGUUCUUAAUUUAGAAUAUUACACAGAUUUUCUUUAAAAAAAAAAAAAAAAAAAAAAAAAAAAUCUCUCAGCAUUUAUAAGCACUUGGUAAGUAAACUUCAGCCCUUUACCCACUCUUUUCUUCAUGAUGUAUGGAUGAGCCUCAGUGACUUACAAUUCUAUGAGCUUUAUUGUACUGCCUUUUUGUGUAUUUAGGGCCAGUUAAUAUGAUCCAUACAGCGGACUAGAGAGUAAUUUAAAUUUUAAUAUAUUGCAGUCAAGCAGUGUCAGUAAGUUAUUUCUGUCUGUGAAAAGGUACCAGUUCUCUAACUGACUAUGGCAAGAAAGGAAAAACCCUAUCCUCCAGAUCCAUUGAAAAAACACAUAGAACAUACGUAAAAUUGUCCGUUGAUUAUGUCAUCACAGACAGUACCAGGAAUUGCCCAACGUCCGUGUGUCACCGGUAUCUGUGAGGAUUAGUGACUCUGGAUCAGUCACCUAGUAGUGAUGCGGAAAGACCUGACUUGGCUUUUGAGUUCAGCAUGUUUCCUGUGCAGUGCAGCCCUGAGUGCUUUGCAAAUCCUGAGCUGCGCAGGGGAUAUCUGAAGGGAGACAAGGGCAUUCCUCUUGCCAUUCUGCGUGCUUGACUCCCGCUCUUCACCUGCCGUGCUCUGUCCCCUUGUGCAUCUCUCACCCCUGCUCCUUGCCUAUUAUCAAAUAGACUAAUUGCCAAGUACGGAAACAUACCAAUGACUGACCAUUAGCCCACCUACCAAACACACAGAAAACAAUUUUUGCAAUGUAAAAAAGAGUAAUGUUUUUUUUUUUUUUCUGGAUUUCCCUUCUCUGCUGAGUUAGUCAGCAAUUGUAAUGUAAGCUGUCAUUUGUUGUCCCUUAUGCAGUAAAGUUCAGCCUUGGAUGACUUUAAAAAGUAAAGUUUUGGUUUCUUUCUUUUGAGCAAGUACAUUUAAUGAGUGGGAUUUACUUACAGGAUGGAGUAUCUCUACAUCUACAAAUGGUACAUGUGAUGAAGCUUUAGAAGUUUUAUUUAUUUAUACCAGCUAGAGAUAUGCCUGCUUUUUUGAGUAAAAGGCAAGUGUCUUAAUGAUAGCUUUGUUGCUACCUGUUAAUAAUAAGCUAAAACUGGACUCUGAUCACAAAUCUCCUAGAUAUAUGCAAAUGGACUAUCUUGCUGUUCUCAUUCCUACAUGAUGCUUAGAACUGAGUUUGGAACCGGCAUUAAAGUUUUGCAACUCGUUAAUUUGUAGAAUAUCUUAGACCCUUCCUAUUUAAAUUCCAUAUACCAUGCAUUGGUACUUUCUGCAUUUGAACAAAAUAUUCAGGGUAACAGCCCUUGCGUGAUUUAUUCAUGAAGUCCAGUAGCCAUCUGCAGCAGUGAGCAAUAACUGAGAAGGAGGCAAUCAUCUUUCAUAAUCACAACUCACCAAGUGUACAUCUGUGCAUCCCAUUUGUUAUAAAACUCUUGGUUUAUUGUCACAAAUAAACUCAGGGGCCAAACUCUCUCUUGCAAACAGGAGCAAAGAGGAUUUGCAGCUCGGGUGGCUGCAGGCUCCCAGCACGCACACACAGCACCACGGCUCAUGUAUCUCUCUGUGCUGGGGGCCUGAGCGCACUGCUGGCUGUGCACACAGAGCUGGGCCAACAACAAAAUGCAGAGGAAAAUGCUAAGGUGUUGUGGCUGGCAUGAAUGACACUGGGUUAUGGUAUUAUUAUGGUAAAAAAACCUUUGAGAGAAAGAUGACCACACCUGAACAAAGUUUAGAGACACCUGG
Long non-coding RNA from Gallus gallus (chicken), 6657 nucleotides. RefSeq lists it as uncharacterized. The transcript has 3 exons. The record is from RefSeq and is a predicted model, not a curated record. Lineage: Eukaryota; Metazoa; Chordata; Aves; Galliformes; Phasianidae.